CUUUCUUUGCUGGCGACCGGCGCACGGGUGAGUAACACGUGUCCAACCUGCCCUUUACUCGGGGAUAGCCUUUCGAAAGAAAGAUUAAUACCCGAUAGCAUAAUGAUUCCGCAUGGUUUCAUUAUUAAAGGAUUCCGGUAAAGGAUGGGGAUGCGUUCCAUUAGGUUGUUGGUGAGGUAACGGCCCACCAAGCCUUCGAUGGAUAGGGGUUCUGAGAGGAAGGUCCCCCACAUUGGAACUGAGACACGGUCCAA
This 254-nucleotide ribosomal RNA is filed under the name uncultured bacterium. RNAcentral's name for it is "partial 16S ribosomal RNA". It matches the Rfam family "Bacterial small subunit ribosomal RNA", at positions 79 to 334 of the family's 1533-position model. The record is from RNAcentral.